UAAGACGGAAGGUGCAAGCGUUGUUCGGAAUCACUGGGCUUAAAGCGCGUGUAGGCGGAGUGGUAGGUGCCAUAGUGAAAUCCCUCGGCUCAACCGAGGAACUGCUUGGCAAACCCUCACUCUUGAGACAGGCAGAGGCGACUGGAACGUUCGGUGGAGCGGUGAAAUGCGUAGAGAUCGAACGGAACACCGGUGGCGAAAGCGGGUCGCUGGGCCUGUUCUGACGCUGAGACGCGAAAGCGUGGGUAGCAAACAGGAUUAGAUACCCUGGUAGUCCACGCCGUAAACGAUGCGCACGUGGUUCGGGGACCUCUGACGGUUUCCGUGCCGAAGCGAAAGCGAUGAGUGCGCCGCCUGGGGAGUACGGCCGCAAGGCUA
This 378-nucleotide ribosomal RNA is filed under the name uncultured bacterium. Its description in RNAcentral is "bacterial SSU rRNA". It matches the Rfam family "Bacterial small subunit ribosomal RNA", at positions 521 to 896 of the family's 1533-position model. The record is from RNAcentral.